UUGAUAGUAAGUCAGUGGUGAAAGCCUACAGCUUAACUGUAGAACUGCCGUUGAUACUGCUAGUCUUGAGUAUAGUUGAGG
This 81-nucleotide ribosomal RNA is filed under the name Winogradskyella ouciana. RNAcentral describes it as "Winogradskyella sp. ZXX205 partial 16S ribosomal RNA". The record is from RNAcentral. Lineage: Bacteria; Pseudomonadati; Bacteroidota; Flavobacteriia; Flavobacteriales; Flavobacteriaceae.